CACGUAGGGUGCGAGCGUUGUCCGGAAUUAUUGGGCGUAAAGAGCUCGUGGGCGGUGUGUCGCGUCGGCCGUGAAAACCUGCAGCUUAACUGUGGGCUUGCGGUCGAUACGGGCAUCACUGGAGUUCGGCAGGGGAGACUGGAAUUCCUGGUGUAGCGGUGAAAUGCGCAGAUAUCAGGAGGAACACCGGUGGCGAAGGCGGCGACCUGGGUCGAGACUGACGCUGAGGCGCGAAAGCGUGGGGAGCAAACAGG
This 254-nucleotide ribosomal RNA is filed under the name uncultured bacterium. Its description in RNAcentral is "partial 16S ribosomal RNA". It matches the Rfam family "Bacterial small subunit ribosomal RNA", at positions 524 to 776 of the family's 1533-position model. The record is from RNAcentral.